This 287-nucleotide ribosomal RNA is filed under the name uncultured bacterium. RNAcentral describes it as "partial 16S ribosomal RNA". It matches the Rfam family "Bacterial small subunit ribosomal RNA", at positions 773 to 1060 of the family's 1533-position model. The record is from RNAcentral.
GUGGAUUAGAUACCCUGGUAGUCCACGCUGUAAACGAUGGAUACUAGAUGCAGGGGGUAUUCACUCCUUCUGUGUCGCAGCUAACGCAAUAAGUAUCCCGCCUGGGGAGUACGGCCGCAAGGUUGAAACUCAAAGGAAUUGACGGGGGCCCGCACAAGCAGCGGAGCAUGUGGUUUAAUUCGACGCAACGCGAAAAACCUUACCAAGACUUGACAUCGUGCGCUAUCCCUGGAAACAGGGAGUUCCUUCGGGACGCACAGACAGGUGGUGCACGGUCGUCGCCAGCU